RNAcentral lists this ribosomal RNA (1106 nucleotides) under Staphylococcus aureus. Its description in RNAcentral is "bacterial SSU rRNA". It matches the Rfam family "Bacterial small subunit ribosomal RNA", at positions 1 to 1085 of the family's 1533-position model. The record is from RNAcentral. Lineage: Bacteria; Bacillati; Bacillota; Bacilli; Caryophanales; Staphylococcaceae.
UUUUAUGGAGAGUUUGAUCCUGGCUCAGGAUGAACGCUGGCGGCGUGCCUAAUACAUGCAAGUCGAGCGAACGGACGAGAAGCUUGCUUCUCUGAUGUUAGCGGCGGACGGGUGAGUAACACGUGGAUAACCUACCUAUAAGACUGGGAUAACUUCGGGAAACCGGAGCUAAUACCGGAUAAUAUUUUGAACCGCAUGGUUCAAAAGUGAAAGACGGUCUUGCUGUCACUUAUAGAUGGAUCCGCGCUGCAUUAGCUAGUUGGUAAGGUAACGGCUUACCAAGGCAACGAUGCAUAGCCGACCUGAGAGGGUGAUCGGCCACACUGGAACUGAGACACGGUCCAGACUCCUACGGGAGGCAGCAGUAGGGAAUCUUCCGCAAUGGGCGAAAGCCUGACGGAGCAACGCCGCGUGAGUGAUGAAGGUCUUCGGAUCGUAAAACUCUGUUAUUAGGGAAGAACAUAUGUGUAAGUAACUGUGCACAUCUUGACGGUACCUAAUCAGAAAGCCACGGCUAACUACGUGCCAGCAGCCGCGGUAAUACGUAGGUGGCAAGCGUUAUCCGGAAUUAUUGGGCGUAAAGCGCGCGUAGGCGGUUUUUUAAGUCUGAUGUGAAAGCCCACGGCUCAACCGUGGAGGGUCAUUGGAAACUGGAAAACUUGAGUGCAGAAGAGGAAAGUGGAAUUCCAUGUGUAGCGGUGAAAUGCGCAGAGAUAUGGAGGAACACCAGUGGCGAAGGCGACUUUCUGGUCUGUAACUGACGCUGAUGUGCGAAAGCGUGGGGAUCAAACAGGAUUAGAUACCCUGGUAGUCCACGCCGUAAACGAUGAGUGCUAAGUGUUAGGGGGUUUCCGCCCCUUAGUGCUGCAGCUAACGCAUUAAGCACUCCGCCUGGGGAGUACGACCGCAAGGUUGAAACUCAAAGGAAUUGACGGGGACCCGCACAAGCGGUGGAGCAUGUGGUUUAAUUCGAAGCAACGCGAAGAACCUUACCAAAUCUUGACAUCCUUUGACAACUCUAGAGAUAGAGCCUUCCCCUUCGGGGGACAAAGUGACAGGUGGUGCAUGGUUGUCGUCAGCUCGUGUCGUGAGAUGUUGGGUUAAGU